GACGAACGCUGGCGGCGUGCUUAACACAUGCAAGUCGAACGGAAAGGCCUGUCUGUUGUGGGGUGCUCGAGUGGCGAUCGUGUGAGUAACACGUGUGUAACCUGCCCUGUACGUGGGGAUAUCUGUAGGAAACUGGGGCUAAUACCGGAUAGGAGCUCUGGUGGCAUGGUGGGGGUUGGAACGUUUCUGCGUUUGUUUGUGGACUCGUGUGUUUGCAGCUUGUUGGUGGGGGUGUGGCUUACCAAGGCUUUGACGGGUAGCCGGCCUGAGAGGGUGACCGGCCACAUUGGGACUGAGAUACCACCCAGACUCCACACGGAGGCAGCAGUGGGGAAUAUGGCACAAUGGGCGGAGGCCUGAUGCAGCACAGCCGCGUGCGGGAUGACGGCCUUCGGGUAGUAACAAAAAAUCGCCUGUGACGAAGCGUGAGUGACGGUAAUGGGUAAAGAAGCACCGGCUAACUACGUG
Molecule: ribosomal RNA, 468 nt
Filed under: uncultured bacterium
Lineage: Bacteria
Description: partial 16S ribosomal RNA
Rfam family: Bacterial small subunit ribosomal RNA
Source: RNAcentral